Molecule: long non-coding RNA, 604 nt
Filed under: Gallus gallus (chicken)
Lineage: Eukaryota; Metazoa; Chordata; Aves; Galliformes; Phasianidae
Description: long non-coding RNA NONGGAT004019
Source: RNAcentral
UGCCCAGCUCUCUGCUAUGUGGCCAUCAGCCACAUGGCCCAUUAACACACAUACAUCACCAUAAGGCCUCCUCCAAUCCCAUUGGCAUUGCAGAGCACUGACUAUGACAGACAGCAAAGGAAGAAAGCACCAUCCUUUGAAAGGAACUAGACACCACCAGUUCCACCACUCAGAGGGCUGGGCAUUUGCUUUUCUUCUGCUGUGACUGUACAGAAAACAGUGACAUCCUGCUAAGGAUGCAGAGGCUAGCCCUGUACCCUGCCCUGCCUGCUGUGCAUGCUGCUGGACCAUCUGUCAGUGGAGCUCUCAGACCCUAUUCUUGAAGCACUCUAAACACCUGAGGAGACAAUGUUUUGAGCAGACACUUGCUGUAUUUGCGCACAGUACUGCAUGUCUUCUCUCUGUCACUCUGGACAUACAUGGCUCAUGCAACAGAUCAGAAAUUAGGUAAGCAAAGAUAUAAAGUUAUUCUGCUUGUGCAGAAUGGAUAAUGAGAGUAAUGCAAUUAACAGUAUUAAUGUUAAUAACUAGAUAUCUGCUAUUAGCAGUCUCCCACCUUGAUCAUUUAUUAAACAGUGACACCAAAUUUAGACGUCAAAACAGU